RNAcentral lists this ribosomal RNA (582 nucleotides) under uncultured fungus. Its description in RNAcentral is "eukaryotic LSU rRNA". The stretch from base 187 to 340 matches the Rfam family "5.8S ribosomal RNA". The record is from RNAcentral. Lineage: Eukaryota; Fungi.
UCCGUAGGUGAACCUGCGGAGGGAUCAUUACAAGUGACCCCGGUCUAACCACCGGGAUGUUCAUAACCCUUUGUUGUCCGACUCUGUUGCCUCCGGGGCGACCCUGCCUUCGGGCGGGGGCUCCGGGUGGACACUUCAAACUCUUGCGUAACUUUGCAGUCUGAGUAAACUUAAUUAAUAAAUUAAAACUUUUAACAACGGAUCUCUUGGUUCUGGCAUCGAUGAAGAACGCAGCGAAAUGCGGUAAGUAAUGUGAAUUGCAGAAUUCAGUGAAUCAUCGAAUCUUUGAACGCACAUUGCGCCCCCUGGUAUUCCGGGGGGCAUGCCUGUUCGAGCGUCAUUUCACCACUCAAGCCUCGCUUGGUAUUGGGCAACGCGGUCCGCCGCGUGCCUCAAAUCGACCGGCUGGGUCUUCUGUCCCCUAAGCGUUGUGGAAACUAUUCGCUAAAGGGUACUCGGGAGGCUACGCCGUAAAACAAACCCAUUUCUAAGGUUGACCUCGGAUCAGGUAGGGAUACCCGCUGAACUUAAGCAUAUCAAUAAGCGGAGGAAAAGAAACCAACAGGGAUUGCCUUAGUAACG